Molecule: ribosomal RNA, 490 nt
Filed under: uncultured bacterium
Lineage: Bacteria
Description: partial 16S ribosomal RNA
Rfam family: Bacterial small subunit ribosomal RNA
Source: RNAcentral
AUUGAACGCUGGCGGCAGGCCUAACACAUGCAAGUCGAACGGUAACAGGAAACAGCUUGCUGUUUCGCGGACGAGUGGCGGACGGGUGAGUAAUGUCUGGGAAACUGCCUGAUGGAGGGGGAUAACUACUGGAAACGGUAGCUAAUACCGCAUAACGUCGCAAGACCAAAGAGGGGGACCUUCGGGCCUCUUGCCAGCGGAUGUGCCCCGAUGGGACUAGCUAGUAGGUGGGGUAACGGCUCACCUAGGCGACGAUCCCUAGCUGGUCUGAGAGGAUGACCAGCCACACUGGAACUGAGACACGGUCCAGACUCCUACGGGAGGCAGCAGUGGGGAAUAUUGCACAAUGGGCGCAAGCCUGAUGCAGCCAUGCCGCGUGUAUGAAGAAGGCCUUCGGGUUGUAAAGUACUUUCAGCGGGGAGGAAGGGAGUAAAGUUAAUACCUUUACUCAUUGACGUUACCCGCAGAAGAAGCACCGGCUAACUCCGUG